CUUGCCUAGGUCUUUGGGGGAGGUACACGGGGCUGUGCGCUCUGCAGAUACUGCAUCUAAUGCCAUGAUUGCUUUGUUUAGGCCCUGGAUGUAGUGGGUUCUUUUGUUGGCUUGUGUUAUCGUCGGGGCGACGAUAAAGAGCUGGGGGGUAGACUGUAGCAGGAGAAGGAAACGAGGUGUGUGCCUAAUUAAGUUCUGGAGGGGAGUGGCCAAUCAGAGAGGGCGCUCAGACUAUAAGGGUUACCCUGGCACUAAUGUUCUAGGCUCCUUGUCGGCGGUCACCUUAAUUGCUGGAUCUCCUGUUCGUCCGCGGACAUCUUACCUUGGUGUGUUCAGCCCGGUACGGUGAAUAUUACAAGCUGCAGUAGAACGGUUGACGUUGGGGCUAAUAUGGCUGGGUUUUGAGUCCUUACCCUUCUAUUAUUACAGGGUCCCGUGUGUUGUGGCGUGGGGUUGACAGCUGCUUCAUCUCGCGUGGAACUACUGCUGCUCUGCCUAGCGGCGACGGCGCCCUGCUCUGCCUAGCGGCGGCUCAGCUUUACCUUGCCUUAUUGCUGCUGUCUAGUGACGUUUGCACCCUUUCGCGCUUUGCGCUUCCGGUUUGUCUCUACUCUGUCUAGCCUAUAGCAGGCUGAGUCGCAAGCGGGUCCAUAGCUGGGGGCAGGGGGGUGUGCGUGCCUACAUGCGUGUGAGCGGGUGUUGGGGAAACUGACUGGUCCCCCGCUUCCUAAGGGUCCCGGCGCCCAGCCUUAGAUCGGCAGGAAGUGGCUGCUGGUACGCGGCGGUGCUCCAAGCUUACGGUGCUGGGAUCGACUGAUUACUCUUUUUAUGGUUUUACUGUGUAAUAAAAGUGUGUGUGUUCGGAACAA
This is a long non-coding RNA of Brienomyrus brachyistius, 869 nucleotides long. RefSeq lists it as uncharacterized. The record is from RefSeq and is a predicted model, not a curated record. The transcript is spliced from 2 exons. Lineage: Eukaryota; Metazoa; Chordata; Actinopteri; Osteoglossiformes; Mormyridae.